CAAGGAAAGCUAGUAGGUUGUAAAGUUCUCCAAUAUUAUGAUGUAGUUCUCAACUAUACAACCUACUACCUCACCCUG
Molecule: microRNA precursor, 78 nt
Filed under: Mytilus galloprovincialis (Mediterranean mussel)
Lineage: Eukaryota; Metazoa; Mollusca; Bivalvia; Mytilida; Mytilidae
Source: RNAcentral